This 460-nucleotide ribosomal RNA is filed under the name uncultured bacterium. RNAcentral describes it as "partial 16S ribosomal RNA". It matches the Rfam family "Bacterial small subunit ribosomal RNA", at positions 338 to 795 of the family's 1533-position model. The record is from RNAcentral.
CCUACGGGAGGCUGCAGUGAGGAAUAUUGGUCAAUGGACGAAAGUCUGAACCAGCCAAGUAGCGUGCAGGAUGACUGCCCUAUGGGUUGUAAACUUCUUUUAUACGGGAAUAAAACACGUUAUGUAUACUCUCUUGUAUGUACCAUAUGAAUAAGGAUCGGCUAACUCCGUGCCAGCAGCCGCGGUAAUACGGAGGGUCCGGGCGUUAUCCGGAUUUAUUGGGUUUAAAGGGAGCGUAGGCGGAUUGUUAAGCGAGUUGUGAAAGUCUGUGGCUCAACCGUGGAAUUGCAGUGGGAACUGGCAGGCUUGAGUGCAGGAGAGGUAGGCGGAAUUCGUGGUGUAGCGGUGAAAUGCUUAGAUAUCACGAAGAACUCCGAUUGCGAAGGCAGCUCACGGGAGUGCAACUGACACUGAUGCUCGAAGGUGGGGGUAUCGAACAGGAUUAGAUACCCGGGUAGUC